UCCUUAAAUUUAAAGGAUUUGGCGGUAUUCAAGUUUAGUUAGAGGAGCCUGCCCUUUAAAUGAUGAUCCACGAAUAAUCUUACUUUGUCUUGUUACUCAGUUUGUAUACCGUCAUUAUGAAGUAAUAACUAAAGUUAUUUAGCUGAAAUAGAAAGAGUUUUAUUUAUAUUAGAUCAAGGUGCAGCUGAUGAUAAAGUGGUUGUGGGCUACAGUAUUAAUAUAAAUAGUACGGAUAAAAUUUUGAAAGAGAUUUUGGAAGGUGGAUUUAAUAGUAAAUUUAUGUUUAAUAAGGAAUAUUGAUAAAAGUUCUAAAUUAUGUCCCCUU
Molecule: ribosomal RNA, 325 nt
Filed under: Laomenes sp. ZBG-2014
Lineage: Eukaryota; Metazoa; Arthropoda; Malacostraca; Decapoda; Palaemonidae
Description: partial 12S ribosomal RNA
Source: RNAcentral